Molecule: ribosomal RNA, 465 nt
Filed under: uncultured bacterium
Lineage: Bacteria
Description: partial 16S ribosomal RNA
Rfam family: Bacterial small subunit ribosomal RNA
Source: RNAcentral
GACGAACGCUGGCGGCGUGCUUAACACAUGCAAGUCGAACGGAAAGGCCCUGCUUGCAGGGUACUCGAGUGGCGAACGGGUGAGUAACACGUGGGUGAUCUGCCCUGCACUUCGGGAUAAGCCUGGGAAACUGGGUCUAAUACCGGAUAGGAGCCAUUUUUAGUGUGAUGGUUGGAAAGUUUUUUCGGUGUAGGAUGAGCUCACGGCCUAUCAGCUUGUUGGUGGGGUAAUGGCCUACCAAGGCGGCGACGGGUAGCCGGCCUGAGAGGGUGGACGGCCACAUUGGGACUGAGAAACGGCCCAGACUCCUACGGGAGGCAGCAGUGGGGAAUAUUGCACAAUGGGCGCAAGCCUGAUGCAGCGACGCCGCGGGGGGGAUGACGGCCUUCGGGUUGUAAACUCCUUUCGCUAGGGACGAAGCUUUUUGUGACGGUACCUAGAUAAGAAGCACCGGCUAACUACGUG